This 257-nucleotide ribosomal RNA is filed under the name uncultured bacterium. RNAcentral's name for it is "partial 16S ribosomal RNA". It matches the Rfam family "Bacterial small subunit ribosomal RNA", at positions 32 to 260 of the family's 1533-position model. The record is from RNAcentral.
AAUCAACGCUGGCGGCGUGCCUCAGACAUGCAAGUCGAACGCGAAAGUUUCCUUCGGGAGAUGAGUAGAGUGGCGCACGGGUGAGUAACACGUGAGUAAUUUACCUUCGGGUGGGGAAGUACUAACCGGAAACGGUUGUUAAUACCGCAUAAUGCAGCGGCAUCAAUGAUGACAGUUGUUAAAGCGGGGGAGUUGGAGGCAAUCCGACCUCGCGCCUGAAGAGAAGCUCGCGGCAGAUUAGCUAGUUGGUAAGGUAA